RNAcentral lists this ribosomal RNA (301 nucleotides) under uncultured bacterium. RNAcentral describes it as "partial 16S ribosomal RNA". It matches the Rfam family "Bacterial small subunit ribosomal RNA", at positions 509 to 809 of the family's 1533-position model. The record is from RNAcentral.
CAGUAGCCGCGGUAAAACGAAGGGGGCUAGCGUUGUUCGGAAUCACUGGGCGUAAAGCGCACGUAGGCGGACUUUUAAGUCAGGGGUGAAAUCCCAAGGCUCAACCUUGGAACUGCCUUUGAUACUGGAAGUCUUGAGUUCGGGAGAGGUGAGUGGAACUGCGAGUGUAGAGGUGAAAUUCGUAGAUAUUCGCAAGAACACCAGUGGCGAAGGCGGCUCACUGGCCCGAUACUGACGCUGAGGUGCGAAAGCGUGGGGAGCAAACAGGAUUAGAUACCCCCGUAGUCCCUGUCUCUUAUAA